Molecule: transfer RNA, 75 nt
Filed under: Babesia bovis
Lineage: Eukaryota; Apicomplexa; Aconoidasida; Piroplasmida; Babesiidae
Also listed under: 1 other name
Rfam family: tRNA
About the family: Transfer RNA (tRNA) molecules are approximately 80 nucleotides in length. Their secondary structure includes four short double-helical elements and three loops (D, anti-codon, and T loops). Further hydrogen bonds mediate the characteristic L-shaped molecular structure. tRNAs have two regions of fundamental functional importance: the anti-codon, which is responsible for specific mRNA codon recognition, and the 3' end, to which the tRNAs corresponding amino acid is attached (by aminoacyl-tRNA synthetases). tRNAs cope with the degeneracy of the genetic code in two manners: having more than one tRNA (with a specific anti-codon) for a particular amino acid; and 'wobble' base-pairing, i.e. permitting non-standard base-pairing at the 3rd anti-codon position.
Source: Rfam by way of RNAcentral
AGAAAGAUGUCUGAGAGGUUAAAAGAUGUAAAUUGCUAAUUUAUUAUGUCAAGGGUUCGAAUCCCUUUCUUUCUU